Long non-coding RNA from Alligator sinensis (Chinese alligator), 701 nucleotides. RefSeq lists it as uncharacterized. NCBI's taxonomy places the organism in Eukaryota, Metazoa, Chordata, Crocodylia, Alligatoridae. The transcript has 5 exons. The record is from RefSeq and is a predicted model, not a curated record.
CCCCACCGCCCACUGCUAAGCCGGGAGGGCGGGGGUGCGUGUGUGCGUAUUUAGACCUCCGCCGUGUAAUAUCCCGCGUGUGUGCAGCUCAGGGGAGGUUGUGGUACACGCAAGAACUGACAAGACAGGCUGGAGAGGCGGCGUGCCCCGCGCCCAGACGAGACGAGGCGCCGAGGGUGGACACACGUGGGGGCCCGUGCGCAGCCCGGGGGGGCGGGCACCGUGAUACAGUGUGCGUGCCCCGUGCUGUAUACUAUACCAAAACAUUGAAAGUUAACUGACUGCAAUUAGAAAAGCUUUAAAUAAACCAAGAUGGCUCUGUCAAUUCUGAUACAACCACAACGCGAAGUUUUAUUUCUUCCUCAAUUUGGGGCCGUGACUCUGAUAGGGACGCCUGGAGUGAUUGGUUGAGAUAUGGACUGAUGCCCCGGCACCAAACUAAGAGCAGUUACAAAAAAAAAGAGAAAUCACUGAAGAACGAUUUGGUGCUAUGAUGUUUCCAAUGUAUGGUGUGGCCAGGACCAUUAAAGAAAUAAGACUGUUAGCUAAUAUAUUAGAACAACCCAAGGAGAAGAGAGGGAGCAACUAAUGGCCUUUCAGUGCGACUUCCAUUCUUUAUUGCUUGAAUAUGAUCAACUGGCUUUGAAGAAAAUCUCCAAGGCCUCUUUAGAAGUCUACUGAUCAAGGUAUGGAAGAGAAGC